GGCUCGUUCGUCUAACGGUUCAAGAUGUCAGGUUGUCAACCUGGAGACACGGGUUCAACUCCCGUACGAGUCGCC
This 75-nucleotide transfer RNA is filed under the name Gemmata obscuriglobus. RNAcentral describes it as "tRNA-Asp". It matches the Rfam family "tRNA". From Rfam's summary of the family: Transfer RNA (tRNA) molecules are approximately 80 nucleotides in length. The record is from RNAcentral. Lineage: Bacteria; Pseudomonadati; Planctomycetota; Planctomycetia; Gemmatales; Gemmataceae.